This 464-nucleotide ribosomal RNA is filed under the name uncultured bacterium. Its description in RNAcentral is "bacterial SSU rRNA". It matches the Rfam family "Bacterial small subunit ribosomal RNA", at positions 8 to 456 of the family's 1533-position model. The record is from RNAcentral.
AGAGUUUGAUCCUGGCUCAGGAUGAACGCUAGCGACAGGCUUAACACAUGCAAGUCGAGGGGCAGCGGGGCGGCAGGCUUGCCUGCCGUUGCCGGCGACCGGCGCACGGGUGAGUAACACGUAUGCAACCUGCCCGUGGCAGGGGGAUAAGCGGGGGAAACCCCGUCUAAUACCGCGUAACGCGGCCUAGGGACAUCCCAAGGCCGCCAAAGGGAGCAAUCCCGGCCACGGAUGGGCAUGCGGCGCAUUAGCUAGUCGGCGGGGUAACGGCCCACCGAGGCGACGAUGCGUAGGGGUUCUGAGAGGAAGGCCCCCCACACUGGUACUGAGACACGGACCAGACUCCUACGGGAGGCAGCAGUGAGGAAUAUUGGUCAAUGGGCGCGAGCCUGAACCAGCCAAGUCGCGUGAGGGAGGACGGCCCUACGGGUUGUAAACCUCUUUUGCCGGGGAGCAACGGGCGC